CCAGACUCCUACGGGAGGCAGCAGUGGGGAAUAUUGCACAAUGGGCGGAAGCCUGAUGCAGCAACGCCGCGUGCGGGAUGACGGCCUUCGGGUUGUAAACCGCUUUCGCCUGUGACGAAGCGUGAGUGACGGUAAUGGGUAAAGAAGCACCGGCUAACUACGUGCCAGCAGCCGCGGUGAUACGUAGGGUGCGAGCGUUGUCCGGAUUUAUUGGGCGUAAAGGGCUCGUAGGUGGUUGAUCGCGUCGGAAGUGUAAUCUUGGGGCUUAACCCUGAGCGUGCUUUCGAUACGGGUUGACUUGAGGAAGGUAGGGGAGAAUGGAAUUCCUGGUGGAGCGGUGGAAUGCGCAGAUAUCAGGAGGAACACCAGUGGCGAAGGCGGUUCUCUGGGCCUUUCCUGACGCUGAGGAGCGAAAGCGUGGGGAGCGAACAGGCUUAGAUACCCGGGUAGUCCACGCUGUAAACGGUGGGUACUAGGUGUGGGGUCCAUUCCACGGGUUCCGUGCCGUAGCUAACGCUUUAAGUACCCCGCCUGGGGAGUACGGCCGCAAGGCUAAAACUCAAAGGAAUUGACGGGGGCCCGCACAAG
Molecule: ribosomal RNA, 588 nt
Filed under: uncultured bacterium
Lineage: Bacteria
Description: bacterial SSU rRNA
Rfam family: Bacterial small subunit ribosomal RNA
Source: RNAcentral